This 76-nucleotide transfer RNA is filed under the name Streptomyces lasiicapitis. RNAcentral describes it as "tRNA-Trp". It matches the Rfam family "tRNA". From Rfam's summary of the family: Transfer RNA (tRNA) molecules are approximately 80 nucleotides in length. Lineage: Bacteria; Bacillati; Actinomycetota; Actinomycetes; Kitasatosporales; Streptomycetaceae. The record is from RNAcentral.
CGGGGUGUGGCGCAGUGGUCGACGCGCCUCCACCGCGUGUGGGAAGACGCCGGUUCGAAUCCGGUCACCCCGCCCA